UACAUAGGUGGCAAGCGUUAUCCGGAAUUACUGGGCGUAAAGCGUGCGUAGGCGGUUUCUUAAGUUAGAUGUGAAAGCCCGAGGCUUAACCUCGGAACUGCAUUUAAAACUGGGAGACUAGAGUGAAGAAGGGGUGAGUGGAAUUCCUAGUGUAGAGGUAAAAUUCGUAGAGAUUAGGAGGAACACCGGCAGCGAAGGCGGCUCACUGGUCUUUAACUGACGCUGAGGCACGAAAGCGUGGGGAG
This 245-nucleotide ribosomal RNA is filed under the name uncultured Hyphomonadaceae bacterium. Its description in RNAcentral is "partial 16S ribosomal RNA". It matches the Rfam family "Bacterial small subunit ribosomal RNA", at positions 524 to 768 of the family's 1533-position model. The record is from RNAcentral. Lineage: Bacteria; Pseudomonadati; Pseudomonadota; Alphaproteobacteria; Hyphomonadales; Hyphomonadaceae.